AGUUCAUAAAAGGGCAAAAGACAUUUUAUAGAAAAUGUUGUCCUAACAACAACCAGAGAUAUUACACUCUUGUUCUGAGACAGGGCUUGCUUAUUGAGAUGUAGGAGUGAACCAACCUGUCCACAUCCCCUUUGUAAAGGGUCCCAACAUCCCUGACAAAGUUCAAGUAUAAAUACUGGACCCGAACAAUACAAACCAAUUAUUACACAGUACAGACUUCAGCAUCAGUCACCGCACCGUCUUCAAUAUGAAGUACUUCGCAAUUGCCUUGCUCCUCCUGUUCGCCGUCGUGGCUUGUUAUGCCGCUGACGCUCCCAAGGAAGCCCUGAAAGGCUCUGAGGCAGUGUAUGUGGCAUCCCCCUACGCGUACAACGUUCCCGCUGCCGUGUACCACCCCUACGGAUACUAUUACCGCUAAACAACCCCCCGACACAGCAUUUGUUAUGAUAACUUACGAGCUAUGAACUACGGACCUUCUCUUCUUGAAACUUCGACUGCAGAUUCUUAAGACGAGGAAGUGAUUCUGAUAUAGAUACCUUCUUUGAUGUUUUGGCACAGUGUACAGUCACAAGACUACUAUUAAAUAUAAUAACAAGAAUA
Molecule: long non-coding RNA, 600 nt
Organism: Zootermopsis nevadensis
Lineage: Eukaryota; Metazoa; Arthropoda; Insecta; Blattodea; Termopsidae
Source: RefSeq, a predicted model, not a curated record